GCGAAAACUUUACAAUGCGAGCAAUCGUGAUAAGGGAACUCCGAGCGCCUGUAAAAUCAGGCUGUCCGCCAGUGUAAAUAACUGGUGAAGGAAGGGCCGGGCAAGACCGGUGCCAGCCGCCGCGGUAACACCGGCGGCUCGAGUGGUAACCGUUAUUAUUGGGUCUAAAGGGUCUGUAGCCGGCCGGAUAAGUCUCUUGAGAAAUCUGGCAGCUUAACUGUCAGGCCUUCAGGAGAUACUGUCUGGCUCGAGGCCGGGAGAGGUGAGAGGUACUUCAGGGGUAGGGGUGAAAUCUUGUAAUCCUUGAAGGACCACCAGUGGCGAAGGCGUCUCACCAGAACGGACCUGACGGCAAGGGACGAAAGCUAGGGGCACGAACC
This 380-nucleotide ribosomal RNA is filed under the name uncultured prokaryote. RNAcentral's name for it is "bacterial SSU rRNA". It matches the Rfam family "Archaeal small subunit ribosomal RNA", at positions 341 to 725 of the family's 1478-position model. The record is from RNAcentral.